Puntigrus tetrazona (Sumatra barb) is the source of this 1326-nucleotide RNA transcript. It is a transcript of the gene named necdin-like 2, with no coding region annotated. The transcript has 12 exons. The record is from RefSeq and is a predicted model, not a curated record. NCBI's taxonomy places the organism in Eukaryota, Metazoa, Chordata, Actinopteri, Cypriniformes, Cyprinidae.
UGGGCGGUAUAAUGUUGCUCAGCUCUCGGAGGAGCGCUGUACAUCAGCAGCAGAAGAAAUUACCGGGAAAUUGUGCUCUUGCGCUUAAAACCAAAGCUGUAAGCAGAUAACGUUAUUUAACCAGAUAACGUUAUUUAACCAUCACUGACAGAUCGAUCACCAUGUCCCAGAGGAAGAAAGCGGUUUCAGCUUCACAGAGCAAAACUCAGAGACGCUCUCAGGUAUCUCUGGAUGAAGAUGACGAGGAUGCUAAUUUUAGCCAAAUGACAUCAUCACAGGUGCAACGAGCCCGAGAGAACUUCACGAGUGAACAGGUCGACCGCAAGGUGGCAGAAGUGGUCCAGUUCAUCUUAAUUAAAGACCAAAGAAAAAUACCCAUUCGAAGAGCAGACAUUGCCAAACAUGUGGUAAAGGAAUACAAAGCCAUCUAUACAGAAAUCAUGAACAAAGUUUGCCUCAAAUUUGAUCAGGUUUUUGGAUUAGAACUGGUGGAGAUUGACCAAAAAAAUCACAUUUACAUCCUGAUUAAUAAGCUGGAGCCCAUUCAUGGAGAGCCAUUGAGCAUGCGUUCUGAAAACCCAAAGAUAGGCCUGCUGUUGGUCAUCCUGAGUGUGGUUUUCAUGAAGGGUGGUGUUAUUAAAGAGAAUCUCGUAUGGAAUACGCUAAAGAAGCUGCGAGUGGACCCAGGGGAAAAGCAUGAUCAGUUUGGUGACAUAAAAAAGGUGGUCACAGAUGAAUUUGUACGGCAGAAAUAUUUAGAGUAUGUGAAGAUCCCUCACACAGACCCAGUGGAGUUUGAGUUUCGCUGGGGUCUGCGGGCAGAGAAGGAGGUGUCCAAACUCAAGCUGCUAGAGUUUGUUGGAGAGCUUUUUGAUCAGGAUCCUCAGAGCUGGACACAGCAGUUCAGAGAGGCCAGUGCUGCUGAAAUCGGCAGCCAGAGAUCAUGAACACCUUGUGUUGUGCAUUUAUUAGUUUAAAUAAGAAGGUCUUCUUUAAUAUGGUAGAAGGUGAAGAAAAGCUGAGAGAGAUCUAUUGAGAUCUGAGGAUCUUUGUUCUGCCUUUCUGAGAUGUUAGCCGAAUUUCAUUUGAUUGCGUGAAAAGGCCAUUGAAGAUUAUUUGUUAAAAAUAGGUGUGUGUCUGGUUCAAAUGCUACACUGAGCUGAUCUAGACAACAGCUUCUGCAUUCAAUAAUGAAAUGCCUUUAGCUAAAAACAUUACACUACUGACACUAUUCUCCAAUUUAAUUCUGUUCAGUGCUUUGAAACAUUGUUAAAUUGUAUUUUUUAAAGCGGUACAAAAAUGAAGGUGAUUAAAUGAUUGACUGAU